CCUACGGGAGGCUGCAGUGGGGAAUAUUGCGCAAUGGGCGCAAGCCUGACGCAGCGACGCCGCGUGAGGGAUGAAGGUCUUAGGAUCGUUAACCUCUGUCAGUAGGGAAGUACGGUCACUGUGCUAAUUCGCCGUGAAUUGACGGUACCUGCAAAGGAAGCACCGGCUAACUCCGUGCCCGCAGCCGCGGGAAUACGGAGGGUGCGAGCGUUAAUCGGAAUUACUGGGCGUAAAGCGCUCGUAGGCGGUAUGUCAAGUCAAGGGUGAAGUCCCCGCGCUCAACGUGGGAACUGCCUUUGAAACUGGCAAACUGGAGUGUGUGAGAGGAUAGUGGAAUUCCAGGUGUAGGAGUGAAAUCCGUAGAGAUCAGGAGGAACAUCAGUGGCGAAGGCGACUAUCUGGCACAUAACUGACGCUGAGGAGCGAAAGCGUGGGUAGCAAACAGGAUUAGAUACCCGAGUAGUC
This 465-nucleotide ribosomal RNA is filed under the name uncultured bacterium. Its description in RNAcentral is "partial 16S ribosomal RNA". It matches the Rfam family "Bacterial small subunit ribosomal RNA", at positions 338 to 795 of the family's 1533-position model. The record is from RNAcentral.